CACUCUGGGUCGGUCGGGGUCUGGAAGAUGACGUCAUGCUGAUCUAUCGCCUUCUGUGAGCCAGGGUCAGGUCUAGGUGCUUUCACGUUAACCUCAGUUCAUGUUCACAGCAAAUCUAGGAGAGAGGAUGCACCUUUCCUGUGGGCACAGGAGCUCAGAGAGGGCAAGUCUUUGCUCCAGGUCACAUAGCCGGGAGGUGGUAGACCAUGAAGUUAAACCUAUCGAGGCGUUUUUGGUGGCGCUUUCACUCCACAGAAGCCCAUAGUGCCGGAGCCCAGGCUGGGGAUAUGGUCCAUUUCCUCAGCAAGUGAAUGCAUCCUCAGAAGCCCGCCACAUGUUUUUAAUAAUUGGUUGAGAAAGGCCUAGAAGGAGCAGGGGGCUGGAGCCUGAGACAAUGGGGCCAGCGGCUACCCUCAGCACUAUGGAUGGAUCUGUGUAGCACCCUCAAGGCAACAACAGGAUAUCCAAGAAGAGUCUCAGUGAGGGCCCAGCAUGGAUGGUGUAACGGAAACCAGAGGCCUUGAACAAGAUCAGUGACCCUUUGCCGGGAACACUUACUUGCAACGGGGAUAAAGGGGUUCACUGCACGACUCCCUGUGUCA
Long non-coding RNA from Alexandromys fortis (reed vole), 602 nucleotides. RefSeq lists it as uncharacterized. The record is from RefSeq and is a predicted model, not a curated record. The transcript is spliced from 3 exons. Lineage: Eukaryota; Metazoa; Chordata; Mammalia; Rodentia; Cricetidae.